GGACGACGUCCUGAUUGUCUGGAAUGGGUCGGAGGAGGACUUUCGGGACUUCGUCUAAUAUCUCAAUGAGAUGAAUGAGAAUGUUCCUUUAAAGCCACCUAAGAAGAAACCAUAAGGAAUCUCCGGUUACCAACUUACAGAACACUUUUUAUACCUCUCGAUUGACCGCAAAUCCAAUGCUGACUGCCACUGGAGGAAACCUGUGGAAGUAAAUAACUGGAUUUCAGUGUGCACAAAUAAAAGAUACUGAAUGCAGGUUCAGAAGGUACUAGAUGGAAAUCCUACUAAUGGUUGCAGGACAGAAAUUCACAUAGGCAAUGACCCAAGGAAUAAUCACAAUCAUUUAUACCUGUGUACAAAAUUGCAG
Long non-coding RNA from Hyla sarda, 367 nucleotides. RefSeq lists it as uncharacterized. The record is from RefSeq and is a predicted model, not a curated record. NCBI's taxonomy places the organism in Eukaryota, Metazoa, Chordata, Amphibia, Anura, Hylidae. The transcript is spliced from 3 exons.